This 74-nucleotide transfer RNA is filed under the name Komagataeibacter rhaeticus. RNAcentral's name for it is "tRNA-Thr". It matches the Rfam family "tRNA". From Rfam's summary of the family: Transfer RNA (tRNA) molecules are approximately 80 nucleotides in length. Their secondary structure includes four short double-helical elements and three loops (D, anti-codon, and T loops). Further hydrogen bonds mediate the characteristic L-shaped molecular structure. tRNAs have two regions of fundamental functional importance: the anti-codon, which is responsible for specific mRNA codon recognition, and the 3' end, to which the tRNAs corresponding amino acid is attached (by aminoacyl-tRNA synthetases). tRNAs cope with the degeneracy of the genetic code in two manners: having more than one tRNA (with a specific anti-codon) for a particular amino acid; and 'wobble' base-pairing, i.e. permitting non-standard base-pairing at the 3rd anti-codon position. Lineage: Bacteria; Pseudomonadati; Pseudomonadota; Alphaproteobacteria; Acetobacterales; Acetobacteraceae. The record is from RNAcentral.
GCCGGGUUAGCACAGUGGUAGUGCAGCGGUUUUGUAAACCGAAGGCCGGGGUUCAAAUCCCUCACCCGGCACCA